RNAcentral lists this ribosomal RNA (1122 nucleotides) under Bacillus pumilus. RNAcentral's name for it is "bacterial SSU rRNA". It matches the Rfam family "Bacterial small subunit ribosomal RNA", at positions 22 to 1126 of the family's 1533-position model. The record is from RNAcentral. Lineage: Bacteria; Bacillati; Bacillota; Bacilli; Caryophanales; Bacillaceae.
GCUCAUGACGAACGCUGGCGGCGUGCCUAAUACAUGCAAGUCGAGCGGACAGAAGGGAGCUUGCUCCCGGAUGUUAGCGGCGGACGGGUGAGUAACACGUGGGUAACCUGCCUGUAAGACUGGGAUAACUCCGGGAAACCGGAGCUAAUACCGGAUAGUUCCUUGAACCGCAUGGUUCAAGGAUGAAAGACGGUUUCGGCUGUCACUUACAGAUGGACCCGCGGCGCAUUAGCUAGUUGGUGAGGUAACGGCUCACCAAGGCGACGAUGCGUAGCCGACCUGAGAGGGUGAUCGGCCACACUGGGACUGAGACACGGCCCAGACUCCUACGGGAGGCAGCAGUAGGGAAUCUUCCGCAAUGGACGAAAGUCUGACGGAGCAACGCCGCGUGAGUGAUGAAGGUUUUCGGAUCGUAAAGCUCUGUUGUUAGGGAAGAACAAGUGCAAGAGUAACUGCUUGCACCUUGACGGUACCUAACCAGAAAGCCACGGCUAACUACGUGCCAGCAGCCGCGGUAAUACGUAGGUGGCAAGCGUUGUCCGGAAUUAUUGGGCGUAAAGGGCUCGCAGGCGGUUUCUUAAGUCUGAUGUGAAAGCCCCCGGCUCAACCGGGGAGGGUCAUUGGAAACUGGGAAACUUGAGUGCAGAAGAGGAGAGUGGAAUUCCACGUGUAGCGGUGAAAUGCGUAGAGAUGUGGAGGAACACCAGUGGCGAAGGCGACUCUCUGGUCUGUAACUGACGCUGAGGAGCGAAAGCGUGGGGAGCGAACAGGAUUAGAUACCCUGGUAGUCCACGCCGUAAACGAUGAGUGCUAAGUGUUAGGGGGUUUCCGCCCCUUAGUGCUGCAGCUAACGCAUUAAGCACUCCGCCUGGGGAGUACGGUCGCAAGACUGAAACUCAAAGGAAUUGACGGGGGCCCGCACAAGCGGUGGAGCAUGUGGUUUAAUUCGAAGCAACGCGAAGAACCUUACCAGGUCUUGACAUCCUCUGACAACCCUAGAGAUAGGGCUUUCCCUUCGGGGACAGAGUGACAGGUGGUGCAUGGUUGUCGUCAGCUCGUGUCGUGAGAUGUUGGGUUAAGUCCCGCAACGAGCGCAACCCUUGAUCUUAGUUGCCAGCAUUC